RNAcentral lists this long non-coding RNA (320 nucleotides) under Phoenix dactylifera (date palm). RNAcentral describes it as "long non-coding RNA (PDAC_LNC008788)". The record is from RNAcentral. Lineage: Eukaryota; Viridiplantae; Streptophyta; Magnoliopsida; Arecales; Arecaceae.
CAAUCUAAUUGGAUCAAGUUCCAUCAAUUGGGUCAAGCUCAAUCCACUUCGGUUGAACCUAAUCCGAUUAGGUCAAAUCCUGAUGUAGCUUAAAUCGAAUCCAAUUCAAUUUUGCUCAACCUAAGCCCAAUUACUCAAUCAAAUUGAGUUCAUUAGCAAUCUAAUUGCUAAUUAAUCCCCAAUAAUUCAAUAAUUAUUUUAAUACAACUUUUGUUUAGGGUAUUCUGUCAAUCGAAUUGACCGAUGUACCCCUGGAUGAUUCUUAAUCAUUGAUCAGCCAUUUGAUCAACUUAAAAACUUCUAUGCGUGUGACUCCAUCG